UAACCUGCUAAAUAUGUCAUAGAUAGAUUUCUAUAAAAAAGUGAAGGGGUCAUUAAGGGAAAGUUUCGAUGGACUCUGACGGGCUCUUUCAUGGAUAACUAUCUAGAUGUACUUCUUAGAGGGACUAUCUGUAUCAAAGCAGAUGGAAGUUUGAGGCAAUAGGUCUGUGAUGCCCUUAGAUGUUCUGGGCCGCACGCGCGCUACACUGAUAAGUUCAACGAGUUUAACACCUUGCUCGAUAGGGCUGGGUAAUCUUUGAAAAACUUAUCGUGAUGGGGAUAGAUCAUUGUAAUUAUUGGUCUUCAACGAGGAAUUCCUAGUAAGC
RNAcentral lists this ribosomal RNA (325 nucleotides) under uncultured eukaryote. RNAcentral describes it as "bacterial SSU rRNA". It matches the Rfam family "Eukaryotic small subunit ribosomal RNA", at positions 1344 to 1622 of the family's 1831-position model. The record is from RNAcentral.